Molecule: ribosomal RNA, 253 nt
Filed under: uncultured bacterium
Lineage: Bacteria
Description: partial 16S ribosomal RNA
Rfam family: Bacterial small subunit ribosomal RNA
Source: RNAcentral
GACAGAGGGUGCAAACGUUGUUCGGAAUUACUGGGCGUAAAGAGCUCGUAGGCGGCUCGUCGCGUCGACCGUGAAAACCCGCGGCUUAACUGCGGGCUUGCGGUUGAUACGGGCGGGCUAGAGUUCGGUAGGGGAGACUGGAAUUCCUGGUGUAGCGGUGAAAUGCGCAGAUAUCAGGAAGAACACCCGUGGCGAAGGCGGCUCUCUGGGACGGUACUGACGCUGAGACGCGAAAGCGUGGGGAGCGAACAGG